Molecule: unclassified non-coding RNA, 177 nt
Filed under: soil metagenome
Description: partial internal transcribed spacer 1
Source: RNAcentral
CCGAGUUUACAACUCCCAAACCCCUGCUGAACCUAUCCUUCACUGUUGCUUCGGCGGGAUCCGCCCCGCUCGGGGCGCGUGCGUCCUAACCAUCCGGAGCGGGCCCGCCCGCCGGAGGAUGCCCUAAACUCUGUUUGUAUAUCCGUAAUCCUCUGAGUAAACACAUAAAUAAAUCCA